CCUACGGGUGGCAGCAGUAGGGAAUUUUGCGCAAUGGGCGAAAGCCUGACGCAGCAACGCCGCGUGAGUGAUUAAGUCCUUCGGGGUGUAAAGAUCUGUCAGUGGGGACGAAACUUGACGGUACCCACAGAGGAAGCACCGGCGAACUCCGUGCCAGCAGCCGCGGUAAUACGGAGGGUGCAAGCGUUGUCCGGAAUCAUUGGGCGUAAAGAGUUCGUAGGUGGCAUUUUAAGUCUGGUGUUAAAUGCAGAAGCUCAACUUCUGUUCGGCACUGGAUACUGGUAGGCUUGAAUGCGGUAGGGGUAGGGGGAAUUCCUGGUGUAGCGGUGAAAUGCGUAGAUAUCAGGAGGAACAUCAGUGGCGUAGGCGCUUUACUGGGCCGUAAUUGACACUGAGGAUCAAAAGCCGGGGUAGCAAAUGGGAUUAGAUACCCUUGUAGUC
Molecule: ribosomal RNA, 441 nt
Filed under: uncultured bacterium
Lineage: Bacteria
Description: partial 16S ribosomal RNA
Rfam family: Bacterial small subunit ribosomal RNA
Source: RNAcentral